UUAACUCAAAGUUGUAUGCAGCUGGAACGUUUGCCGCGCUGUUCCAAUUGCGUACAAAUUUGAGUUA
RNAcentral lists this microRNA precursor (67 nucleotides) under Bombyx mori (domestic silkworm). Its description in RNAcentral is "mir-2807 microRNA precursor family". It matches the Rfam family "mir-2807 microRNA precursor family". Lineage: Eukaryota; Metazoa; Arthropoda; Insecta; Lepidoptera; Bombycidae. The record is from Rfam by way of RNAcentral.